This 252-nucleotide ribosomal RNA is filed under the name uncultured bacterium. Its description in RNAcentral is "partial 16S ribosomal RNA". It matches the Rfam family "Bacterial small subunit ribosomal RNA", at positions 524 to 776 of the family's 1533-position model. The record is from RNAcentral.
UACGUAGGUCCCGAGCGUUGUCCGGAUUUAUUGGGCGUAAAGCGAGCGCAGGUGGUUUAUUAAGUCUGGUGUAAAAGGCAGUGGCUCAACCAUUGUAUGCAUUGGAAACUGGUAGACUUGAGUGCAGGAGAGGAGAGUAGAAUUCCAUGUGUAGCGGUGAAAUGCGUAGAUAUAUGGAGGAACACCGGUGGCGAAAGCGGCUCUCUGGCCUGUAACUGACACUGAGGCUCGAAAGCGUGGGGAACAAACAGG